GACGAACGCUGGCGGCGUGCUUAACACAUGCAAGUCGAACGGAAAGGCCCUGCUUUUGUGGGGUGCUCGAGUGGCGAACGGGUGAGUAACACGUGAGUAACCUGCCCUUGACUUUGGGAUAACUUCAGGAAACUGGGGCUAAUACCGGAUAGGAGCUCCUGCUGCAUGGUGGGGGUUGGAAAGUUUCGGCGGGUGGGGAUGGACUCGCGGCUUAUCAGCUUGUUGGUGGGGUAGUGGCUUACCAAGGCAUUGACGGGUAGCCGGCCUGAGAGGGUGACCGGCCACAUUGGGACUAAGAUACGGCCCAGACUCCUACGGGAGGCAGCAGUGGGGAAUAUUGCACAAUGGGCGGAAGCCUGAUGCAGCAACGCCGCGUGCGGGAUGACGGCCUGCGGGGUGUAAACCGCUUUCGCCUGUGACGAAGCGUGAGUGACGGUAAUGGGUAAAGAAGCACCGGCUAACUACGUG
Molecule: ribosomal RNA, 468 nt
Filed under: uncultured bacterium
Lineage: Bacteria
Description: partial 16S ribosomal RNA
Rfam family: Bacterial small subunit ribosomal RNA
Source: RNAcentral